Molecule: long non-coding RNA, 150 nt
Organism: Penaeus monodon (black tiger shrimp)
Lineage: Eukaryota; Metazoa; Arthropoda; Malacostraca; Decapoda; Penaeidae
Exons: 3
Source: RefSeq, a predicted model, not a curated record
AUCCUUCAGCAGCUGGCCGACGGCACAUUUGAUGAGGAUAAGUACAUAAUUGGAAAGCGAGUUGAUCACUAUAUGACUCGCGCCACUGAUAAUAAACGUGCCACGAAGAAGGAAGGGACGGGUUUGGGCUCAGCUGCAUCCCCGACUUGG